This 149-nucleotide small nucleolar RNA is filed under the name Suhomyces tanzawaensis NRRL Y-17324. RNAcentral describes it as "Candida tanzawaensis NRRL Y-17324 Small nucleolar RNA snR80". It matches the Rfam family "Small nucleolar RNA snR80". The record is from Rfam by way of RNAcentral. Lineage: Eukaryota; Fungi; Ascomycota; Pichiomycetes; Serinales; Debaryomycetaceae.
UACUGUUUGCCAACACUCUGGUGCCAAAUCUUAUCUUAUGAUAUGCUAUAUUUGGUUCCUAUUUUGGUGCAAACUAGAAUCUUAGCUGACUACUCACCAUCACUCUCCUUUUCAAUGAGGGUGAUCUGGUCCAUUUCAUUAGCUCAAAU